This 207-nucleotide ribosomal RNA is filed under the name uncultured bacterium. RNAcentral's name for it is "partial 16S ribosomal RNA". It matches the Rfam family "Bacterial small subunit ribosomal RNA", at positions 568 to 774 of the family's 1533-position model. The record is from RNAcentral.
CAUGUAGGCGGUUGUUUAAGUCUGAUGUGAAAGCCCUGGGCUCAACCCAGGAAGUACAUUGGAUACUGGGCAACUUGAGUACGGGAGAGGAAAGUGGAAUUUCGAGUGUAGGGGUGAAAUCCGUAGAUAUUCGAAGGAACACCAGUGGCGAAGGCGGCUUUCUGGACCGAUACUGACGCUGAGAUGCGAAAGCGUGGGGAGCAAACA